RNAcentral lists this ribosomal RNA (458 nucleotides) under uncultured bacterium. Its description in RNAcentral is "partial 16S ribosomal RNA". It matches the Rfam family "Bacterial small subunit ribosomal RNA", at positions 338 to 795 of the family's 1533-position model. The record is from RNAcentral.
CCUACGGGAGGCAGCAGUGAGGAAUAUUGGUCAAUGGGCGAGAGCCUGAACCAGCCAAGUCGCGUGAGGGAGUACUGCCCUAUGGGUUGUAAACCUCUUUUGUCGGGGAGCAAAAGCCGGACGUGUCCGGCUGUGAGAGUACCCGAAGAAAAAGCAUCGGCUAACUCCGUGCCAGCAGCCGCGGUAAUACGGGGGAUGCGAGCGUUAUCCGGAUUUAUUGGGGUUAAAGGGUGCGCAGGCGGAUUUUUAAGUCAGCGGUCAAAUCGUGGGGUUCAACCCCAUCCAGCCGUUGAAACUGGGGAUCUAGAGUGUGUGAGAGGCAUGCGGAAUGCGUGGUGUAGCGGUGAAAUGCAUAGAGAUCACGCAGAACCCCGAUUGCGAAGGCAGCAUACCGGUGCACAACUGACGCUCAGGCACGAAAGCGUGGGUAUCGAACAGGAUUAGAUACCCCUGUAGUC